Molecule: long non-coding RNA, 2071 nt
Organism: Oncorhynchus masou masou (cherry salmon)
Lineage: Eukaryota; Metazoa; Chordata; Actinopteri; Salmoniformes; Salmonidae
Exons: 4
Source: RefSeq, a predicted model, not a curated record
GGAUCCUGAUGAUGUGAACCCUUCCACCAACACAAACAUUUUAUCGAACGGAGGGCCUCCUGAGGAGGAUAUGGAUGCUAAUUCAACCAGUAAGGGGAUUGAGAUCCCGCAGAGAGGAAGCCCCAGUCCUGCGAACAUCAACUUUCCAGACAAUAAGAAGAGGUACCUAUCACUGUCUGAGGGAGGGGAUCCUGAUGAUGUGAACCCUUCCACCAACACAAACAUUUUAUCGAACGGAGGGCCUCCUGAGGAGGAUAUGGAUGCUAAUUCAACCAGUAAGGGGAUUGAGAUCCCGCAGAGAGGAAGCCCCAGUCCUGCGAACAUCAACUUUCCAGACAAGUCAGUGGAACUCCAAAAUCAAGUUGAAAACAAAUUACGUGAUACAUUUUACCUUCUACAAACAGAAGUUUGCAUUUAUAUUAAAAUUAAAUGGGCAUUCUUAACUGGUGAUGUGUUUGUUGCAAUUCCGGAACCUAACAAUAUAGAAAAUAUGGAAAACAAACCUCCAAUAAUUAGUCAUACCAAAGAGUUACUUCUUGAGGAAGUGAAAAAAAUGUUUGAAAACGAAGUGAAAAUACAAAAUAGAAAAUGUUAUAUGUAUUCGCUCAACUCUCCUUCGCAAAUUAUAGAACAUAAAAUAACAGAUUUAGCAGAACUGAACAAGUAUGGCAUAACAGCGAUUUUUACGAACUGUCUGACGGAAAACCAAAACAUCCCAAAGCAUUUUGAAAAUUUUUCUGAAUUUCUUGAUAAAUACUACUCAUUACAAACAAAAGAUUGCAAGCAAAAAUUUGAUACGCAACAUGCAUGGGCAUUUAUAGAGUCACCUUGUGGUGGAGAACCGGUUUUUGUUGGCUUAAUUAAAUUAGAAGAUUGCAAAAAGAUGGGUAAGGGAGAACAUACCGAAAAGUUACUUCUUGAGGAAGUAAAACAAAUAUUGAAAAAAAAUGAGAAAUUGCGAAAUACUAAGUUGUUUAUCUAUACCCUCAAUUCACCUUGUUUGCAAAAUUCCGGUCAUGAUUCAUGCAUGGAUUUACUGAUUAAGGAUUCUUCAGAACUGUACAAAUCUUAUGGUAUAAAAACUAUUGUUGGAUAUAGCAAAUGGUACGGUUUGACUGGAAAGUUGACAACCUUUAUAGAUCCAUAUAUCAGCUCAUUCGAUCACUUUAAUUUGAUAAUCAGUAGUCCUAAUUAUGAAAACUAUCGUGACAAAUUUGCCAUUUUUAAGACUGAGUAUAACAAUAACAACAGCCAUGACUCUCAAUCAAAUUUUGAAGACAGAGAACUUACCAGGGAACUUUAUAAUUCGACUAAACAAUUUCUACCCAACAACAUUUCAGAAGUACCUUUCAGAUUGCAAACUUUUACAGACAUCCAUAAUUAUGUGACAAAGAAAUUUAGGUCAAUUAGCAAUUACCAUAAAAAAGAGCCGAGAACCGAUAAGAAAAGUCUUGACCUACAUUUUUCCAUACCCCAUUUUGGAACUCUGAAUCAAUUCCAAAAAGUUGGAGAGGAUCUAGCUAAAACAUUUGACUUGGUAAAAAAAAGUGGUAGUGCCUUAGAUAAAUCUAAAGUAGUAUUCAUAAAAUGGUGGACUAAAACAAUUGCAGACAAACAUACUACUUUUCUUCGAGAAGACAUUAAUAGACGACUUAGUGAAGAAAAACACAGAAUCACAUUCCUCAAUCACAUCAAGAUUAACACUGCAGAAUAUUUACAGUUUUGUCACUUACCACCAAACCAUUUAUACAAACUUCUUAAUUAAUACAUGCAACGUAUUCAUUUGAGGUUGUGAGCUAUAGAUUAUGAAUAAAUCAAAUUGUAUUGGUCACAUGUCUAUUUACCUUUAUUUAACAAGUCAGUUAAGAACAAAUUCUUAUUUUCAAUGACAUACACACUGUUAGCAGAUGUUAAUGCAAGUGUAGUGAAAUGCUUGUGCUUCUAGUAAUCUAACAAAUUCACAACUGCCUGUAAAGGGGUGAAUAGAAUAUGUACAUAUGUCUCCAACUCCCCCUAUGUUUUUUGAGGUACUGUAAACGUAUGCUUUCAUACUAAUAAAAAAUAAUUGCUA